This 253-nucleotide ribosomal RNA is filed under the name uncultured bacterium. RNAcentral describes it as "partial 16S ribosomal RNA". It matches the Rfam family "Bacterial small subunit ribosomal RNA", at positions 524 to 776 of the family's 1533-position model. The record is from RNAcentral.
UACAGAGGGGGCAAGCGUUGUUCGGAAUUACUGGGCGUAAAGGGUGCGUAGGCGGGUCUUUAAGUCAGGGGUGAAAUCCUGGAGCUCAACUCCAGAACUGCCUUUGAUACUGAAGAUCUUGAGUUCGGGAGAGGUGAGUGGAACUGCGAGUGUAGAGGUGAAAUUCGUAGAUAUUCGCAAGAACACCAGUGGCGAAGGCGGCUCACUGGCCCGAUACUGACGCUGAGGCACGAAAGCGUGGGGAGCAAACAGG